GACGAACGCUGGCGGCGCGCCUAACACAUGCAAGUCGAACGAGAGAGAGGGAGCUUGCUUCCUCAAUCGAGUGGCGAACGGGUGAGUAACGCGUGAGGAACCUGCCUCAAAGAGGGGGACAACAGUUGGAAACGACUGCUAAUACCGCAUAAGCCCACGACCCGGCAUCGGGUUGAGGGAAAAGGAGCAAUCCGCUUUGAGAUGGCCUCGCGUCCGAUUAGCUAGUUGGUGAGGUAAUGGCCCACCAAGGCGACGAUCGGUAGCCGGACUGAGAGGUUGAACGGCCACAUUGGGACUGAGACACGGCCCAGACUCCUACGGGAGGCAGCAGUGGGGAAUAUUGCACAAUGGGGGAAACCCUGAUGCAGCGACGCCGCGUGGAGGAAGAAGGUCUUCGGAUUGUAAACUCCUGUUGUUGAGGAAGAUAAUGACGGUACUCAACAAGGAAGUGACG
RNAcentral lists this ribosomal RNA (454 nucleotides) under uncultured bacterium. RNAcentral's name for it is "bacterial SSU rRNA". It matches the Rfam family "Bacterial small subunit ribosomal RNA", at positions 28 to 495 of the family's 1533-position model. The record is from RNAcentral.